Molecule: long non-coding RNA, 565 nt
Filed under: Ananas comosus (pineapple)
Lineage: Eukaryota; Viridiplantae; Streptophyta; Magnoliopsida; Poales; Bromeliaceae
Description: long non-coding RNA (ACOM_LNC000189)
Source: RNAcentral
ACACCCCCUCCUCCCUUAACAUAAAAUUAGAUAAAAUUUUUGAGGAAUACUUCGAUACACCGUAUAAAUUUUGAUCAUUUAUUUUUCUUAAUAGAUGGUUUAGAUUUAAUAUGAUUCUAGAGGUGACCUGCUAUUGAAGCAUAAGUACCGUUCACCAAGUACCUAUUUAAAAGGUAUUUUAGUCUUUGUAAAAUAGUUUGGUCCAUAAAACCGAUUUUAUCCAACUAAGAAUAUUGUGUCCCUCUUAAAUACCUACAACAAUAGUUGAAUUUCAAAUUACAACCAAACUGUAAAUUUAAAUUCAAAACAACAUUUAAAACUUUAUAAAUCAAAUUCAAUUUUUUUAAAUAUAAAACACAGAUUUAAAAUAAAACUUUCAGUUCCAAUUCAAAAUUUCAAUUUAAAUCAAAAAUUAAAAUUUGGCUUUAAGAUUAAAAGUUCAAUUUAGAUUCAAAUUUAAAAGUUUAAUAUAAAUUUCAAAAUUAAAAUUUUACAUUACAAUACCAAUUUCAAAAAUUAAAUUUAAAUUUUUUAUUUUUUUGAGCUGGAUACUUAACAAAUUAGG